This 70-nucleotide small RNA is filed under the name Myotis lucifugus (little brown bat). Its description in RNAcentral is "GRIK4 3 prime UTR element (ENSMLUG00000030707.1)". Lineage: Eukaryota; Metazoa; Chordata; Mammalia; Chiroptera; Vespertilionidae. The record is from RNAcentral.
UAGAGGCGGCAGAGACAGGAACAGAGCCAAGGCUGUGGAGGCAGGAGACAGGAGGGGAAACCCAGCCACA